GUGGGUAUAGCUCAGUGGUAGAGCACAUGCCUAGCAUGCACGAGGUCCUGGGUUCCAUCUGCAGUACCUCCA
This 72-nucleotide transfer RNA is filed under the name Camelus ferus (Wild Bactrian camel). It matches the Rfam family "tRNA". Rfam says of the family: Transfer RNA (tRNA) molecules are approximately 80 nucleotides in length. Their secondary structure includes four short double-helical elements and three loops (D, anti-codon, and T loops). Further hydrogen bonds mediate the characteristic L-shaped molecular structure. tRNAs have two regions of fundamental functional importance: the anti-codon, which is responsible for specific mRNA codon recognition, and the 3' end, to which the tRNAs corresponding amino acid is attached (by aminoacyl-tRNA synthetases). tRNAs cope with the degeneracy of the genetic code in two manners: having more than one tRNA (with a specific anti-codon) for a particular amino acid; and 'wobble' base-pairing, i.e. permitting non-standard base-pairing at the 3rd anti-codon position. Lineage: Eukaryota; Metazoa; Chordata; Mammalia; Artiodactyla; Camelidae. The record is from Rfam by way of RNAcentral.